CCAGAGACCGGCGCACGGGUGCGUAACGCGUAUGCAAUCUACCUUUCACAGAGGGAUAGCCCAGAGAAAUUUGGAUUAAUACCUCAUAGUAUAUUGGUCUCGCAUGAGAUUAUUAUUAAAGAUUUAUCGGUGAAAGAUGAGCAUGCGUCCCAUUAGUUAGUUGGUAAGGUAACGGCUUACCAAGACUACGAUGGGUAGGGGUCCUGAGAGGGAGAUCCCCCACACUGGUACUGAGACACGGACCAGACUCC
RNAcentral lists this ribosomal RNA (251 nucleotides) under uncultured Flavobacterium sp. RNAcentral's name for it is "partial 16S ribosomal RNA". It matches the Rfam family "Bacterial small subunit ribosomal RNA", at positions 88 to 339 of the family's 1533-position model. Lineage: Bacteria; Pseudomonadati; Bacteroidota; Flavobacteriia; Flavobacteriales; Flavobacteriaceae. The record is from RNAcentral.